UACAGAGGUCCCAAGCGUUGUUCGGAUUCACUGGGCGUAAAGGGUGCGUAGGUGGUGAGGUAAGUCGGAUGUGAAAUCUCCGAGCUCAACUCGGAAAUGGCAUUGGAAACUACCUUGCUAGAGGGUUGGAGGGGGGACUGGAAUGCUUGGUGUAGCAGUGAAAUGCGUAGAUAUCAAGCGGAACACCAGUGGCGAAGGCGAGUCCCUGGACAACUCCUGACACUGAGGCACGAAAGCUAGGGGAGCAAACAGG
Molecule: ribosomal RNA, 253 nt
Filed under: uncultured bacterium
Lineage: Bacteria
Description: partial 16S ribosomal RNA
Rfam family: Bacterial small subunit ribosomal RNA
Source: RNAcentral